Long non-coding RNA from Struthio camelus australis, 1978 nucleotides. NCBI's taxonomy places the organism in Eukaryota, Metazoa, Chordata, Aves, Struthioniformes, Struthionidae. The record is from Ensembl.
CUUCAAAGCUUUUCUAGGAAAUAAUUGAACACUUAAUGAUUUUAAAGUUCCAUGAUAGCUCUAAAGCCAAAUUGUUGUUUAAAUUAAUACAUUUAACUAAUGAUCAACACAUGAGUCUGAAAGAUGCUUCUCUGCACACAGGUGCGUUUGCGGAUCUGGCCUCAGGGCGAUGACUAAAACAGCAAAUGGUGUGUGAUACAGGGCUUGUCCGGAGCACCAAGGGGAGCUGGGCAGGCAGCGUCCUGGGAUGAGGUGAAAAGUACCCUUUCCUCUCAGCAGAAUUAGUUUGUUAUUGCUUACUGGGUGCCGAGUGAUUUUGCUUCUCGAGUGAACUGGGAGGGCAUCUUGCUUCCAAAGGCAACAGCAGACCCAGACUUGCCUAUGGCAAGGAAGAAAAGGCUCUCCCUUAACGUGUUGCUGCAUGACUUUGCUGUUUGAGCGUGAAGUAAGUUAUCUCCUGUCAGUUAGUUUGGGGAAGAAAGUACAGGGAGGUCAGCCAGCAACCACAGGACGGGGCAAAUCUUGUGACUUCAGUAUCUGAGGCUGAGGUGUGGAGCAGCAGGAGCUCCCCGCAGCGCUGGCGCUGGUGGCAUGGGUCCUGAGAGGUGAGGCUGUGCAGCAGGGAGCACCAUUUGUGCAAGGUGUGCGGGUUUUUGCCCGACAGAUAGACGAAAAAACACUGUAACUUCCAUAGCUCGUCCUAGCAAAUUGCCUCUGGCAAAGUUUUGUGGUAGUUCCCCAUCUCAAAGCAGCUGUAGUAACGCUUCCUCUUCCCCACCCUCUGUUUGUCUUUGGUUAUUUAAACAGAAAAUUCUGCAGGAUAUGGAAUGUGCCUCUGUGGGUGAACACAAAGGGCUCAGCGCAGCUUGGCUCUGCAGUCGGCUUACCCCCAUUUGGAGUGAGAAGUUGCAAUCUGAGGAAGGUGAUAAGCAGGGGAGGGGAGGAUGAUCGCAAGAAAGUCCAUGAGCACAAGGGUAGUGAGCGCUGGCAGGAGCUCAGCACCAAGAAGCUGAUGAGGUCGGGCACUGAGAUGCUAGGACAGCCAGAAACUCCUUUGACCAUAGCAGGCAUGAGCGAGCACCAUUAUUUGGGGAGACUGUGCUUCUCUUCUCCAGCUCGAGUUUGUGAAGCUGGAGCCAAACUUCCUGGGAGCUCCAUAGGCAGAUGGUGCCUCCAGAACAGGGAAACAGGGCGCUGCUGCCUCCAAAGUCACCUGGAUAUCCACAAAGAAGGCAACGUGUAUGUGCCUGCGGGAGCUGAUGCCCUUCCCAGGCUGGAGUCCAGACCCCCAGCACAGCACACUUCCAAGCACCCAGCCCCAUGAGACUUCCAAGAACAUGACUCACACACACUACCCCAAGAGCUCUCUGAAAGGCAACAUGACAUUAACCUUAGAUGAAUGAUAUAUUAAAGCAAAACUCAUGGGGAAUCUGGCUUACAUUGUGGUGUGAUCAAGCUCUGAAACUUUCAUUUUCUUGCAUUUUUACUUAUAUAUAACUAGUCAGUCACAGCCUUGCUAGGUGGCCUGCUCAUGGUAAAAUAUUUAUUCCACCAGAAAGGUUGAAACAUUAUUCUUCCAGUACUUUGGCUGAAGACUACGCAGCACAGUACCUGGGGUUUGUGUGAAAUUUAGUAUUUACAGAGGCUGUAGGAGAGACUGGGACCACCCUGAUUUAGCUCCUUCCUCCAUUCUUUCAUUCUGUAUGACCUACCAAAUUAAUUAAAAAUUUGGGGAGCCCUCCAGUGGCCAAAAUUAUAGUGCCUAAAUUCACCACUGUUAAAGAGGUAUCACAAAAUCUGGUGGUGUCUUAAGUCUUUGCAAAAAUGCAUACACCUACAACUUUUCAAUAUGGAAUUUUUAAAAAGUUACCUUUUUACAGAAAAUAUAUUUUUUAAAAGGUCAGUCCGGUUAAGUACAGUCACUGCAACAGUGGAGAUACUUGGGGAAAAGAUUUCCUAAAAGCUCUUUGUAGAAAAC